GUCUGGUCUGGGUUGACACUACUGCAAUUAGCGGUUUAAGGUCCUGGGUUCGAUUCCUGGGGAGACCCCCGAACUAGUCGGGAGCGCGAGAUUAUGGCUAGCUGCUGAGAUGUGGAGUUGAGGUCACAGUUGAUGGACCAGAUUCGCACGCUGGAUUGGUGGCGAUUGCCGAACCCUCCGUCUCUUCGGGUGUUCGGGUGAAUGGAUGAGGAGGGGUCCCUGAAGGCUGGAUCCGCCGCCUUGGACUUACAGUUCGUAUGGCGAAGACAGUGUGGUAGUGGUGGAUGGUGCUAUAAGGUGAUAAAUGAUCGUAGAACUGACAAUGUGAUAAAGCGGCCCAGAAGCCUCCCACUCUGUAACACAUUACAUUACAUUACAUAAGUUGGUUGACGCCAAGCCGAGGUCUACUCCUUUGCCUCCGGGUUUUAGGUACACAUCUACGGGGGACGGAGAGGAGCUGCUGGGCAAUCCCACGGAGUAUAGGGCUUUGGUGGGAGAAUUGAACUAUCUUGCGACGAACAUGCGGCCUGACAUUUCUUAUGCAUUGAGUGUUUUGUCCCGGCAUAUGGCCACACCUACGAAGACUGCCAUGAACUUGGCCACUGGCGUUCUGCGUUACCUGGCGGGUACUCGCGAACUAGGAUUGCGUUUUGGGGGUGUUGGUGACGUUGCUAUGUCCGGGUAUAGCGAUUCUGACUGGGCAGGAGACCCAGUUACGCGGCGUUCUACGUCCGGUUACGUAUUCACUCUUAAUGGGGCUGCGAUUAGCUGGAGCAGCCAACUUCAACGUACUGUGGCAGCUUCGUCGGUGGAGGCUGAGUACCAAGCUACAGCGGCGGCUGUUCGUGAGGCUUUGUGGCUUCACAAGCUGAUGGUUGAUUUGAGCUUGCCUGAGAGCGUGGUGAAAAUCCAGAUAGACUCCCAGGGGCGCUUAGCUUGGGAAACAACCCGAUUACGUCUGCUCGGUCGAAGCACAUCGACGUGCAGCAUCACAUAGUGCGUGAGAGGGUGAAUAGCGGUGAGGUGCAGUUGGAAUACUGCCCUACGGAGUGGAUGGUUGCGGAUGUACUAACGAAGGCUCUGGGCGAGGUGAAGUUCAAACGUUGCCGAGAUGCUAUGGGCCUUGUGUGAAGUGUGCAGAUGAACUUGGUACUCGUUGGGAUACGGCCCGAGGGGGCGUGUUGAGGAAACGGUCCUCUCCCAACUCGUGUGGUUGUCGACCAGGGGAUUUGACCCCGGGUCUGCGCCUGACUAAUGGGGAAGACUUACCCCAGAACUUUAUGGGGCUACCGAUGCAUAUCCGGUAGCUAAGUGAUAGACAUUAGGGCACCGUCUGGACGGCGCAGUGAGAUCGCGGAAUGUACGUGCAGUUAGAUCGCGGAAUGUACGAGUUUUCCGCUAACGCCGGUAUUUAGGGCGGUGACUGCGCCUAUUAGUUUAUCUCACAACGAUCAGUAUUCCUACCAGGAAUCUCCUCAAGUCCUGCCGAACGCUAACAAUACUCUUUACAUUUCUUGUAACAGUUUAUCGUGCUAAAUAUCUUCGCCACCGGCAAUCCUUCCGAAAUAACAAUUAGCGUUAGCCGUCACCGUCGCCAAUUCUAAAUAACACUCCUCAAAUAUCCGAGGAGCCGGCAGGCGGUUUUGAACCCGGGUCGACCGGGAGUAGAAGCCAGGCCUUAACCUCUGCCAGCCGCCUGCCCAUAAAGGUAUAUAAGACACGAGUUGUGCUAGUCUUAGUAUCUCAUCUUUGUAUGGAUCGGUAUUCCUUAGUAGGAAUCUCCUAAAGGCUUCUUGCCGUUUAUCACUCACCUACCGAUUGUAAGACUUAUAUCGCAACCAGUCUCCUUGCCUCCUUCAUAUUCUUAACAGGGCCCGGUGGGUCUAGCAAGGGAUCAGUUUUCUCGAGGCAUGUUGUGUUUGUAGCUUACAACAGUAAGCGUCUGAGGGAUCCUGGUCGGAUACAUGAGUGGAGGACAGUAUCGUGUGAUGUACAAGGACGGCAUCAUCGCCGUGGUCUCCAAUGUCCGCUUUGACGGAUUUAGUGUCGGCCGGCGGCAUAAUGCCAGGGAUUCUGACGAUUGGUCCGAUGCCAACGAAGAUUUCGCCCUAGUUUGCCUGGUGAGGGGUCGCUGCCUAGGGCUGGCGAAUGGACAUCAGGCAAUACCUCAGCGAGGGAUCGCCGCCUUUGUGUGGCCAGGGGGCGCUGGCUGGGACUGGACCUCCCAGAAGUGUGAAUGUGCAAGGAAAUACACAACCUGAUGUAGAAAUAAUGGGGGCUUUUCAGUUAGGGAAUGUAAACGGUCCUGGCGAGUGGUGACGGAGUGUACCUGGUCGUAAUGCUACAGGCCGAGUCAUUGCUGCAGUAUCUGCUGGAAUUCAUAACUUUUAUGCCGAAGCCAUCCCAGGUCUACAUGCAGACGACUGGCGGCAGUGAGUGCCGCGAAACAUUUGUAUCCAGUCGACCCAACUGGACAGCGUGGAUUGCAGCAGGCGAUCAUUUGAUGCAACUACAAGCAGACGGGCCGUAUAGCUCGGAGUUGCAGAGAGAGCCGCAGCCUAACGUGCAAGGAAGGAGUGGAGGUGGUCUUGGCGACCACACGUGGCAGGUGGGGUAGCAUGCCUCAACAGACAGGCGGUGGCGGCAGUUCAGUGAUGCCGUGUAUUUUUUUGCUGCAAGAUACGUUAGUAUCACUAUCAAUUGUCUGACUCCGAAGCGGCUAGUAUUGGUGUACCUGAGUCAGGGCCUUUGCCAGCGGCAAGCCAGCGCAGGAGUUCAGAAGAAUAGGGCAGGGAAUAUGAGGAGAUUUUAUAGCCCCCGGAGUGGUGGCAUGGUGUUGCAGGAAGGAGCAUAGGAGGUCGCAUUAACGUGGCUGUCACUUAUCCGUUCCCUCCUGAACUUUUGCUGAGUAAUACUUUCACUGAAGCCAUUUCAGGUGCAAAUGCAAGUGAGUGGCGCAGAGUGAUGGUCGAGGAGAUUGCUACAUUAGCAGCUAACGGCACUUGUGAGCUGUGUGCUAAUGUACCGGUGGUUGUACAAGUUGAAAAGAGUGGAAGGUGACACGGUCAAGCGGUUUUUUGCAUGGCUAGGUGCAAAGAUGUACGAGAAGUACGAGAACUUGGAGACGUGCAGGUGUUUUUGGGCAUGGAAAUAAUGAGGAUGAAGCCGGGCAAAUUGGUGUUGUCGCAAUGUAGGUAUAUUGAGAAGCUAUUGGAGCGUCAUCAGAUGGUGGAUGCCAAGCCGAGGUCUACCCCUUUGCCUCCGGGUUUUAGGUGCACACCUACGGGGGAUACAGAUGAGCUGCUGGGUAAUCUCACGGAGUAUAGGGCUUUGGUGGGAGAGUUCAACUACCUAGCGACGAACACACGGCCUGACAUUUCUUAUGCAUUGAGUGUUUUGUCCCGGCAGAUGGCCACACCUACGAAGACUGCCAUGAAUUUGGCCACUGGCGUUCCGCAUUACCUGGCGGGUACUCGCGUACUAGGAUUGCGUUUUGGGGGUGUUGGCGGUGUUGCAAUGUCCGGGUACAGCGAUUCGGACUGGGCAGGAGACCCAGUUACGCGGUGUUCUACGUCCGGUUACGUGUUCACUCUUAAUGGGGCUGCGAUUAGCUGGAGCAGCCAACUUCAACGUACUGUGGCGGCUUCGUCAGUGGAGGCCGAGUACCAAGCUACAGCGGCGGCUGUUCGUGAAGCUUUGUGGCUUCGCAAGCUGAUGGUGAAAAUCCAGAUAGACUCCCAGGGGGCGCUUAGCUUGGGAAAUAAUCCGAUUACGUCUGCUCAUUCGAAACACAUCGACGUGCAGCACCACAUAGGGCGUGAAAGAGUGAAAAGCGGUGAGGUGCAGUUGGAGUACUGCCCUACAGAGUGGAUGGUAGCGGAUGCGCUCACGAAGACACUGGGAGAAGUGAAGUUCAAACGGUGCAGAGAAGCUAUGGGUGUUGUGUGAAGUGCCCAUUGGCGGAGCAAAUGUGCUACUGCGAGUUGGGAUAUGUCCCGAGGGGGCGUGUUGAAGGGCGGUCCUAUCCCAACAUAGAUAGGUGGUAGUUAGGCGAUGAAUCCGCCGUGAUAGGCGUUGCCUCGGCCGUGCCUCGACCUUGCCUCGGCCGUGCCUCAACCUUCCCUCGGGUCUCUCGGCCGCGUAUCUCGGACGUGUCCUCAGGUCCAGGGAUGGUGGACGACUGAACGAUACUUCCAUUGGUACUGGUAUAUAAGACACGAGAUGUGCAUGUCUUAGUAUCUCAUCUUCGGAUGGAUCGGUAUUCCUUAGCAGGAAUCUCCUAAAGUCUUCUUGCCGUUCACCACUAACCCACGUACAGUAACCCUUAUAUCGCGACCAGUCUCCUUGCCUUCAUAUUCUUAACAGGGGGCAACACCCAGUGCUUACGUUCAAGGUAAAAUAUCAGGGUAAGACCCAACAAGCUGCCCUGACGUUGAACGUUGACAUAACCCAUCAGCACCCCUCGACCAUGUUCAACAUGCUCCCCAGGUUCCAAAAGGGUUACAAGGCAGCCCUGGUUGCAAGCAGUCCGGAAACGAGCAAACACUCCUCACCUGAAUCGCAUCGUUCUCUCCAGACACCCCUGCCUCCUCGGCUCCACCGCCUGUGUUGCUCUCCUAGCGCCCUGUCCCGCGCCCAGUUCUCCCGCCGCUGCUGCGUCCACGCCCUCGACCACCGCGCGUGCCAGCGGCGGUUCCGGAUCGCCCACGGCCGCGCGUGCCGCCAGCAGCACCUGUGACCUCGACUGGGGCCUGGGCCGUUGCCAUGCCCGCAUCCCCACCGGUCCCUACGGUGGCAGGGCUGCGCCGGUCCCGCCACCCCUGGGAUGCAUGGCCUGGGCAGUUUCAGCUGCUAGGUUUGCUACCUGGGCAACGCAGGCGAGCGAGCAAGCUAUGAAUUUACAAGUACUCCCCCACCCUUCGUGUGUCGAUUGCUCAGUGAUCCGCGAGGCCCCAAUCUUCUGUGAUGGUUCCGGCUGCUGAUGACACUGCACUCUGCCUGAAAUUGACCAAAUCAGGGCAGUGCUGUCCUCCUCAUAGGAUAGCACGCCACAGGGCAGGCUCCCCCUGAACCGCUUGACUGCAGCGUUGACGUCCUCAUGCGUGGAGAACUUCCUCAGAAAGCUUGUUCUCAAUGCUGUCCCGGUAACGUCAAAGAAUGGAGGCGCUACCUGGACCUCACGGCCGUCUGUGUAGGGCAUUGUUAACGAGACAACAUCGCCUGCUGACCUGACGCCUGCAGCACCGGCCAUGGAGCUCAACCUUCCCCUUGAAGUAAUAAGUUGCAUUCUGCUUCCUGAAAAUGCUCGCUGAUAUCAUGUUACCUCCCAGCUCAAAACUAAGCGGUAUCACGUUUUGGCUCUGCUGUUCAUAGGAUUCCCCUAAAGCACACCGGAGUUCAAUACUUCUGGGAAAGUCUUGUUCCAUUUUCCAGCUUAUGGAACUAUAAGGUUGCACUUGUUCAGGUACAGACGGCGCGGAAGCUAUUGGUCCGUCCUGUAUCGUGAGUCGUGGCUAGUGUAAACUGUAUCGGGUAUAGCAAUGGAAUACAAGAACGUAGAGAGUGAGGCAGGUCGUGAUAAGACUUGGCUGAUGACAUGCAAGUAUACAAGUACGGCGCCCAUACUAGAGUACCGCCAGCUCGCCAUCAGUACUAUCCGUACUAUCCCAACUCCUGUGGUUGUUGACCAGGGUAUUUGACCCCGGGUCUGUGUUGAGGAAACGGUCCUCUCCCAACUCGUGUGGUUGUCGACCGUAUUUGUUUAUCUCACUACGAUCGGUAUUCCUACCAGGAAUCUCCUCAAGUCCUGCCGAACGCUAACAAUACUCUUUACAUUACUUGUAACAGUUUAUCGUGUUUCAUAUCUUCGCCGCCGGCAAUUCUUCUGAGAUAACAAUCAGCGUUAGCCGUCACCGUCGCCAAUUCUUCAAUAGGUUAUGAGCCCCGCUUAGCGCCGACAGCUAUCGCCCAAUUGUUAUUUCUAUCCCUCAUCGACAAUGGUUAAGGACAAGCUUGAUGAGUCGCUGGACCUCAACAACUACUCUACCUGGCAAAUUAGGUUUAGCGCGAUGUGCAUGGAGCUUGGGCUUGAGCAAUCCCUGCUCGCCGAGCCGUGCAACGAGGAGCAGAUUCGACAGUCACGGUCAUCAAUCUGCUCAUCAAGAACGUCAAGGAUCAUCAUUUGCCGAUGGUUACCGGUGCUGCCAACGCGAAGAAGGCCUGGGACGCCUUGGGAUCUAUGUUUGCUGCCAACAACAACGCCCGCAAGGUGUCUCUACGUCAAGAAUUCAGCCGUUUUAAGAUGGUCGACGGCGAACCUCUCCCGAUGUACUUUGCGCGUGCAAGGCAGCUGCAAACAGAUUUAUUGGGAGUCGGCCACGUAGUUAACGACUCCGAGCUGGCGUACACCGUGCUAGUUGGUCUACCCAGUCGGUACAGCGUGGUGACGACUACGUUACUUAUGCGCGACGGCGAUUUGGACAUGGCGAGCGUCACAGCAAAGCUUCUCUCUAUCGAGACGGCUAACGGUGGGUCGGGCAAGCCUACCGAGUCGGCAGCCUUCGCGUCUGUCGGCGGUUCGACGUUCGGCGCUUCUACUUCUGGUUAUGGUAGCCGGGGGCCGGCUAACAACAGCUCGGGACAUAGUCGGAAGCAAGUCAUCUGCUACUACUGUAAUAAACCUGGGCACGUGGUUAAGGACUGCAGGCAGCUUAAGGCGCUGAAGCAGUCGUCAAAUUCUGGCUAUAAGGGUGGGUACAACAACAGUGGCAACGGAGGUAGUGGCAGCGGAGCUAGCGGCAGCAAGCCAGGAUCCGGUGGAUCAGCUAGGGGGCCAGGAGUUCCGCGGCGUUCGUAGCAUAUAACAGCGAGCGUCCGACGGAAUGGUUUCUGGACUCAGCCGCCACUCACCACAUAACGUAUGACCGCUCAGAACUUUUCAACGUGCGGUUGUUGGAGCCAUGGGAGCGCUUCAACAUCAUGGGCAUCAAGGGACAAUCUCUUCGACCGACUGAAGUUGGCACGCUUACGAUUCGGUCUAACGUCAACGAUAAACAGGCCAUCACUUUCAAGAAGGUCUACGUCGACGAGGAGGCCACCGCCAAAAUCAUAUCGGUCCGCAUCAUUGAUGAUCGUGGAGGCAGUGUGGUCUUCGGCGGCGGACAGGCGAAAGUAUACGUACAGAACCAGUUGGUGCUGACUGGAAAGCGGGAUGGGGACUUGUAUCCCGUCUGCUACAGCAGUGGAGGUACGGGAGCUCUGAAGAGGACGCAGCGUGAAGACAACAGGAUACCUUCUGGUGGUGAUGCAGUGUGUGCUGCCGUGGGUAUCGGAGCUGAACGUGCAGCACUUUGGCACCGAAGGUAUGGCCACUUGGGAUACAGCAACCUUGAGACGUUGCUGCGUCAUAAUAUGGUAGCUGGAUUUGAUGUUGACCGACACAGCAUACAAUCAGCCAGCACGUGUGUGUGUGAGACUUGCGUCCUUGCUAAACAUACACGUGGUCCUUUUCCGUUUUCAUGAGUAGUUGCCUUACCGCUUAUAGACGUGAGUAGAGCUUGGGUACCUGCGAGCAGAAGAGUGCACUUGCUUCCGUGGGAGGAGGCGAGCCUGGUUACCGACUGCGUUAUCUGCCUCGGGGCGGUGUAAUUGGCAGACGACGCAGUGGAAACCUGUCAGUACUGACUAAAUUAACUCGCGAAAUUGCUCUUUCCGUCGCGCUCUCCGCGACUUGCCCUACUUUCUCACCAGUACGGCCCCGCCGUACCACCAACGAACUGCCGAGUACGCUCUCGGCAAAUACACAGAAAACCUUGGUUUUCUUUCGUUACUCUCAGAAAACCUACAGUUAUCUAGGCAUAAGGCAGCGCAGCCUCUCGCGCUCAUUCACAUGAAUGGUCUGGUCUGAGUUGACACUACUGCAAUUAGCGGUUUAAGGUCCUGGGUUCGAUUCCUGGGGAGACCCCUGAAUUAGUCGGGAGCGCGAGAUUAUGGCUAGCUGCUGAGAUGUGGAGUUGAGGUCACAGUUGAUGGACCAGAUUCGCACGUUAGAUUGGUGGCGAUUGCCGAACCCUCCGUCUCUUCGGGUGUUCGGGUGAAUGGAAGAGGAGGGGUCCCUGAAGGCUGGAUCCGCCGCCUUGGACUUACAGUUCGUAUGGCGAAGCACAGUGUGGUAGUGGUGGAUGGUGCUAUAAGGUGAUAAAUGAUCUAGAACUGACAAUGUGAUAAAGCGGCCCAGAAGCCUCCCACUCUGUAA
RNAcentral lists this long non-coding RNA (8254 nucleotides) under Volvox carteri. Its description in RNAcentral is "long non-coding RNA (VCAR_LNC000882)". The record is from RNAcentral. Lineage: Eukaryota; Viridiplantae; Chlorophyta; Chlorophyceae; Chlamydomonadales; Volvocaceae.